This 468-nucleotide ribosomal RNA is filed under the name uncultured bacterium. RNAcentral's name for it is "partial 16S ribosomal RNA". It matches the Rfam family "Bacterial small subunit ribosomal RNA", at positions 28 to 507 of the family's 1533-position model. The record is from RNAcentral.
GACGAACGCUGGCGGCGUGCUUAACACAUGCAAGUCGAACGGAAAGGCCCUGCUUUUGUGGGGUGCUCGAGUGGCGAACGGGUGAGUAACACGUGAGUAACCUGCCCUUGACUUUGGGAUAACUUCAGGAAACUGGGGCUAAUACCGGAUAGGAGCUCCUGCUGCAUGGUGGGGGUUGGAAAGUUUCGGCGGUUGGGGAUGGACUCGCGGCUUAUCAGCUUGUUGGUGGGGUAGUGGCUUACCAAGGCUUUGACGGGUAGCCGGCCUGAGAGGGUGAACGGCCACAUUGGGACUGAGAUACGGCCCAGACUCCUACGGGAGGCAGCAGUGGGGAAUAUGGCACAAUGGGCGGAAGCCUGAUGCAGCAACGCCGCGUGCGGGAUGACGGCCUUCGGGGUGUAAACCGCUUUCGCCUGUGACGAAGCGUGAGUGACGGUAAUGGGUAAAGAAGCACCGGCUAACUACGUG